GGAAACCGGAGCUAAUACCGGAUAAUAUAUUUAACCGCAUGGUUCAAUAGUGAAAGACGGUUUUGCUGUCACUUAUAGAUGGAUCCGCGUCGCAUUAGCUAGUUGGUAAGGUAACGGCUUACCAAGGCAACGAUGCGUAGCCGACCUGAGAGGGUGAUCGGCCACACUGGAACUGAGACACGGUCCAG
This 188-nucleotide ribosomal RNA is filed under the name uncultured Staphylococcus sp. RNAcentral describes it as "partial 16S ribosomal RNA". It matches the Rfam family "Bacterial small subunit ribosomal RNA", at positions 152 to 334 of the family's 1533-position model. The record is from RNAcentral. Lineage: Bacteria; Bacillati; Bacillota; Bacilli; Caryophanales; Staphylococcaceae.